UGGGGAAUUUUGGACAAUGGGGGAAACCCUGAUCCAGCCAUCCCGCGUGUGCGAUGAAGGCCUUCGGGUUGUAAAGCACUUUUGGCAGGAAAGAAACGUCAUGGGUUAAUACCCCGUGAAACUGACGGUACCUGCAGAAUAAGCACCGGCUAACUACGUGCCAGCAGCCGCGGUAAUACGUAGGGUGCAAGCGUUAAUCGGAAUUACUGGGCGUAAAGCGUGCGCAGGCGGUUCGGAAAGAAAGAUGUGAAAUCCCAGAGCUCAACUUUGGAACUGCUUUUUUAACUACCGGGCUAGAGUGUGUCAGAGGGAGGUGGAAUUCCGCGUGUAGCAGUGAAAUGCGUAGAUAUGCGGAGGAACACCGAUGGCGAAGGCAGCCUCCUGGGAUAACACUGACGCUCAUGCACGAAAGCGUGGGGAGCAAACAGG
This 429-nucleotide ribosomal RNA is filed under the name Acidobacteriota bacterium. Its description in RNAcentral is "Acidobacteria bacterium partial 16S ribosomal RNA". It matches the Rfam family "Bacterial small subunit ribosomal RNA", at positions 355 to 776 of the family's 1533-position model. The record is from RNAcentral. Lineage: Bacteria; Pseudomonadati; Acidobacteriota.